Molecule: long non-coding RNA, 11063 nt
Organism: Globicephala melas (long-finned pilot whale)
Lineage: Eukaryota; Metazoa; Chordata; Mammalia; Artiodactyla; Delphinidae
Source: RefSeq, a predicted model, not a curated record
CUCUACGUCUGCAUCUCUAUUCUUGCCCUGCAAAUAGGUUCAUCUGUACUAUUUUUCUAGAUUCCACAUAUAUGCGUUAAUACACGAUAUUUGUUUUACUCUUUCUGACUUACUUCAUUCUGUAUGACACUCUCUAGGUCCAUCCACAUCUCUACAAAUGACCCAAUUUUGUUCCUUUUUAUGGACGAGUAAUAUUCCAUUGUAUAUAUGUACCACGUCUUCUUUAUCCAUUCAUCUGUCGAUGGGCAUUUAGGUUGCUUCCAUGACCUGGCUAUUGUAAAUAGUACUCCAAUGAACAUUGGGGUGCAUGUGACCUUUUGAAUUACGGUUUUCUCUGGGUAAAUCCCCAGUAGUGUGAUUGCUGGUUCAUAUGGUAAUUCUAUCUUUAGUGUUUUAAGGAACCUCCAUACUGUUCUCCAUAGUGGCUGUAUCAGUUUACAUUCCCACCAACAGUGCAAGAGGGUUCCCUUUUCUCCACACCCUCUCCAGCAUUUGUUGUUUGUAGAUUUUCUGAUGAUGCCCAUCCUAACUGGUGUGAGGUAAUACCUCAUUGUAGUUUUGAUUUGCAUUUCUGUAAUAAUCAGUGAUGUUGAGCAGCUUUUCAUGUGCCUCUUGGCCAUCUGUAUGUCUUCUUUGGAGAACUGUCUAUUUGGUCUUCUGCCCAUUUUUUAAGUGGAUUGUUUGUUUUUUUGAUAUUGAGCUCCAUGAGCUGUUUUUAUAUUUUGGAGUUUAAUCCUUUGUCUGUUGUUUCAUUUGCAAAUAUUUUCUCCCAUUCCGAGGGUUGCCUUUUUGUCUUGUUUAUGGUUUCCUUUGCUGUGCAAAAGCUUUUAAGUUUAAUUAAGUCCCAUUUCUUUAUUUUUGUUUUUAUUUCUGUUACUCUAGCAGGUGGGUCAUAAAAGAUCUUGCUGUGGUUUUUCAAAGAGUGUUUUUCCUAUGUUUUCCUCUAAGAGUUUUAUAGUGUCUGGUCUUACAUUUAAGUCUUUAAUCGAUUUGGAGUUUAUUUUUGUGUACGAUGUUAGGGAGUGUUCUAAUUUCAUUCUUUUACAUGUAGCUGUCCAGUUUUCCCAGCACCACUUACUGAAGAGACUGUCUUUUCUCCAUUGUAUGUUCUUGCCUCCUUUGUCGUAAAUUAGGUGCCCACAUGUGCGUGGAUUUAUCUCUGGGCAUUGUAUCCUCUACCAUUGAGCUAUAUUUCUGUUUUUGUACCAGUACCAUACUGUCUUGAUUAAUGUAGCUUUGUGGUAUAGCUUGAAGUCAGGGAGCCUGAUUCCUCCACUCCGUUUUUCUUUCUCAAGAUUGCUUUAGUUAUUCAGGGUCUUUUGUGUUUCCAUACGAACUGUAAAAUUUUUUGUUCUAAUUCUGGGAAGAAUGACGUUGGUAAUUUGACAGGGAUUGCAUUGAAUCUGUAGAUUGCUUUGGGUAGUAGAGUCAUUUUCACAAUAUUGAUUCUUCCAAUGCAAGAACAUGGUAUAUUUCUCCAUCUGUUUAUGUCAUCUUUGAUUUCUUUCAUUAGUGUUUUAUAGUUUUCUGAGUACAAGUCUUUCACCUCCUUAGGCAGGUUUAUUCCUAGGUAUUUUAUUCUUUUUGUUGCAAUGGUAAAUGGGAGUGUUUCCUUAAUUUCUCUUUCUGAUUUUUCACUGUUGGUGUAUAGGAAUGACAGAGAUUUCUGUGCAUUAACUUUGUAUCCUACAACCUUACCAGAUUCAUUGAUUAGUUCUAGUAGUUUUCUGGUGGCAUCUUGAGAAUUUUCUAUGUAUAGUAUCAUGUCAUCUGCAAACUUUUUCUUUUCCAAUUUUGUUUUUGUUUUUGUUUUUUUUUUUUGGCGGUACACGGGCCUCUCACUGUUGUGGCCUCUCCCGUUGCGGAGCACAGGCUCUGGACGCGCAGGCUCAGCGGCCAUGGCUCACGGGCCCAGCUGCUCCGCGGCAUGUGGGAUCUUCCCGGACUGGGGCACGAACCCGUGUCCCCUGCAUCGGCAGGCAGACUCUCAACCAUUGCGCCACCAGGGAAGCCCUUCUUUUCCAAUUUUUAUUCCAUUUAUUUCUGUUUUCUUCUCUGAUUGCUGUGGCUAUCAGGACUUCCAAAACUAUGUUGAAUAAGAGUGGUGAGAGUGGACUUCCUUGUCUUGUUCCUGAUCUUAGUGGAAAUGCUUUCAGUUUUUCACCAUUGACUGUGAUUCUUGCUGUUUGUUUGUCAUAUAUGGUCUUUAUUAUGUUGAGGUAGGUUCCGUCUGUGCCCAUUUUCUGGAGAGUUUUUAUCAUAAAUGGUGUUGAAUUUUUUCAAAAGCUUUUUCUGCAUCUAUUGAGACGAUCAUAUGGUGUUUAUUCCUUAAUUUUUUAAUGUGGUGUAUCACAUUGAUUGAUUUGCAUAUAUUGAAGAAUACUUGCAUCCCUGGGAUAAGUCCCACUUGAAACUUUUAAUGUGCUGUUGGAUUCUAUUUGCUAGUAUUUUGUUCAGUAUGUUUGCAUCUAUGUUCAUCAGUGAUACGGGUCUAUAAUUUUCUUUUUUUGUGAUAUCUUUUUCUGGUUUUGGUAUCAGGGUGAUGGUGGCUUCAUAGAAUGAAUUUGGGAAUGUUUCUCCCUCUGCAAUUUUUUGGAAGAGUUUGAGAAGGAUAAGUGUUAGCUCUUCUCUAAAUGUUUGAUAGAAUUUACAUGUGAAACCAUCUGGUCCUGGACCAGAUAAUGCUUGAACUUCACCUUGAUGCCAACCAAUGAAGGAAUUGUGCAUGAGCUGAGAACGCACCCUGCAGACCCCCCCGUCCCACUGCCUUUAAAACCCCUUCUCUGAAAGCCAUCAGCACUUCAGGUCUUUUGCAGAUGAGCUGCCCAUUCUUCUUUCUUGGCACUGGCAAUAAACGCUGAACUUCUCUUCACCACAACCUGGUGACAGUAGACUGGCUAUACUACGCACGGGUGAGUGGACCUAAGUUUGGUUUGGUAACACGGCCUUCCUGCCCUCAUCCUUCUUACGACCCUCCUUCUGACCCCCACUUCCACCCUGAGGUUUAACAGCUCAAAGUCCACUUGGAAUCUCUCUCAACCUUUCACUCAGCGCUCAGCUAUGUCACCUGGUCUCUUCUCCUUCACGGCAAACUUUCCCAUCUCCAGAGCCACUAGGAAGCCAUGCAGACCCCUCUGGGGGGCUCGCACAGGAGGGCUGAAAUGAUUUCCCUUCAUGGGGCCAGUGGGACCCGCGCCCCAGGUGGGGAUGAGGUGUGAAGAAGAGCGAGUCUCUAUGGGAGAGAAACAGAAGGGAAGGGAAGAAAGCAGGGACAGGAAGGGGGAAACGAGACCAAAAGGUGAGGCUGGAGGAGAGGAAGAGUGUGCCGUGACCUCAAGUUCAAGCUUUCAAAUAUUCAUAAAUUCUCUCCUCACCCUCUAAAAUCAAACAGGUGCAUUGGAACUUAACUUUGGAAUUCAAGUAGGAGCUCAGGCUGAAAGAGGCAACAUGUCAGAGUUAGUGGGAUAAUCGUUUAAAUCGUAGGAGUAACCCAAACUCUACAUUUUAAAAAGCAAAGAAUUAAAACAAGAAAAUGUCAAGGCUUCUCUUUUCUGAAUUGUAGAUUUAGAAUAGUAGAUACCUAAAUUGUACCUUCAUGCUUUUUUUAAUCAGAGAAGUGAAAAUAAUCACUCUUUCCUAAUAACAGGCUUUCCAUGGGUAGGUAGAGGACAUUUUCUGCUCCAUUCAGUAAGUGGAAGAGGGAGUAAAGGGCGUUCUUGACAAGGGAAAUAAAGCCUCUGGAAAUUGUCUUAAUAGCAGGCUGGGAGUUCAGGCAACAGGGGUGACUUCAGCUUUCCUGGGGCUGCCCUCACCCCCUCCCACCCCUGAUCCAUUUCACCAUGACUCAAGGCUCCCCAGAUACUCCAGCUGCUGGUGCCUCUUCUCCAGAUACAGAGGGUGAAGGUCAUUACCAGCAGAUGACACACUCGUGCCCACUCAUCCUGUAGGUCCCACCACAGUUGCCAACUUCUUUGCCAAGUUUCCCCAGGUGAAGGUCACACUUUCCACUUUCUAUUACAGGUUUUUGCUUGCGUGUUUGUGUCCUCAGCGGACUCCUUUCCUGCAGUUACGGGAAACAGAGAACUCAGUUUUAACUCUCAGCCAGAACGGAAGAGAAUUUAAGAUUUCAACUGUCUCUGAAGCUGAGAUGCUCCAGAGUCAAAUUGCAGCAAUCUUGAUGGUUUCCCCUGGGAGGAGUACAGUCCUGGGAGGCUGACGUUCACUUCCUGCCCCAGAGAGGUGACUGCCUGAUCCUGGAUCACAAAUAUUCAGUCAACGGGAUGUGAGCUGCAUCUCACGGUGAAUCUCUACGGAGUCUCCAAUCACACUAGAUCACACAUCCCUGUGUUGUUUUGUUGGCCGUCUUCCCCCAUAGAAUGUGAGCCCCCCCAGGGCAGAGAUGGCUGUCUCUUUCACUCCCUGCUGUUAUCCACACCAAGAACAGCGUCCAGCACAUAGAAGGUGUUCAAAAUCUAUUCAUUCAGUGAAUGAAGCAGUGAAUGCAUGAUUAGUGAGCCCUCAGGUCUAAAGGAGACACAUUGUCUAUAAUAUGUGUUACGGAGAUUAGAUGCAGGGUCCAUUUCCCAGACCCCUGGUGCUGACUCCCCAGAAUCCCAUCUUUGGGUCCAUGUCACCAGCAGCCUCUCCUCCUCAUUAAACCCAAUAAGCAUGUGAAGAACCAACAGAAUCAGGCAGUCAGGCUUUCUCUGGAUGGGACUUCCUACCCCCACUAGACGGAGGACGAUGGAAGACCCUCUGCUUGUUUACACGCUCAUAACUUAGAUUUCAUAAAGAAGACAUUGCGAACGUUUUGGAAUAGGAAACAUGUUGGAGGAGGUCAUCGAGAGGACGUGACCACCAGCUGACCCUCAAGGCGGACCCAGGCAGUGGAGGUUCCUCAUCCCAUCCCCACAUUUGAAGGUGCAUCUGCCCACCAUUCCACAGCGAGAGCCCUUCCGAGGACGCAGCCUUGAGAGAGCGAGCUGGUGCUGAGACCACCUAGUGUGGACAUCUAAUCAUCUGUGGCCCCCAAGACAAGCCUCAUAGGACUCCAUAUGGCCAACACCAGCGGAAGAUACUGGGAAUGCAAGACCCUCCCUGCCGUGGCUGAGCUCACAGAAUGUUGAAGGAGCUGGACAGGAAGGAAAGAGGGUGGUAAGAUGAGUUCGACUUUACAUCUGCGAGUGAGUCACACACGGGGAGUGGAGGCUCAGACAGAAGUUAUUUCUCAGCGACAGACCGGUAGGAGGGCCGACAUGAAAACCUGGUUCCUUGCCUCCGAAAGCAGCGUCUUAGCAAAGGUCACCCGAGAACUCACCUCCGAGCCAGGCGGGACCUUCUACCCUUGCGUCUGAGAAGAGACAGCACUGCCUCCUGGUGGCCAACUCGAGGCUCUACAGAGUGGCAAGCCGGCCAGGGCCACCUUCUCUGGAUCGAUUCGGAGAGGGAAAGGGGACAGGCUUCCCCUGUUCUUCAGCAAAAAGGAGCAUCAGCACCCCUACAUCAUCCAUCUCUCCUGCUUUGGUCCUAAGACAGACCAGAGGGAAUUGAAUGUCUUAAUAUCACAUCAGGUACCACAUCACGUUGAUGACGUUUUGCUCACUGGAGCUGAUGAGAGGAAGUAGCAAGGGUGAGAGGGUAAGAGAUAAGCCCCACAAGAGUUUGGAGACCUAAACUCUUUCACUUUCACUCUAAAGUGAAAAUAUACUGUGACACUUUGUAGCACCCAUUUCAAAGAAAUAGACAUAACUGUUGAUGGACUUUUUGCUUUCUGAAGGCUACAUAUAGGAUAUGUAAGCAUGAUCUUGUAACAUGAUUAUUGAGUAACGCUUAAGAUGGCCAGUUUGCGGGGGCGGGGGGGAGCGGGUGGAAAGAGUAAAGAACAAGAAGGUCUACUGCUUAGACUUCCGUAUCAUGUCCAGGAAGUAGUUCAAGCUGUCUUGUCACUUAUGCUGUGUGUCAAGAUAUGCUACGGUAUUUCCUGUGUGUGAGGCAGAUAAUAUAUUUUAACAGCAACCGAAAAAUCCCAAAGAAAGAAUCACUGCAUGGUCCCUUGGGUUUGGGAAUGAAGCCAUGCCGUCUUCUGCCAGUAACUAGCCUCAAGUUGGUAAGCAGUUCCUGGCCUCCUAUUGACCCUGGUGGAAACUUAGUGCUUGACCCCCAAGUGAUUGCCCAUCAUCACUGUUUUUUUUCCAAAUCCACCAUCCCUGUGUGGAGCUGUAAUACAUUUGGUUAUCUAUGUGUAUAUUAUGCAAAUCCAUCUGCAAACCAGACCUACCCUUUUUGUUAACUUUUCAUAGGGAACCCUCAUGAGGCCACAGGUGUGUGUUGAGGGCAAAGCAGUAGACACAGAAAUAGGCACAGUUUCCAGGUGAGUAAAUGACCCAGCUACCUGUGCAAUUAACUUGUGCCUGUUCUGAUAUAUACCAUUUCCAAGGGAUAAUUUAAUAUUACUGUUAAUAUCCAAUCUUAUGAUUUGGAAUAUCAGGAAAAAACAUUCAGUUGAUGGUGGGCAGCUCGGGGUGGCUAACAUUUUAUCUUUCAGGUAUUGACAUCACUCAAUCUAUACGGCAGCUCAUGGAACUUUGUUGUCCCCGGCAUUGAGAACACAUUUAUUUUACUUGAAUGCCAAACAGGUGAGUGAAGCUUUGGAGGGGACAGAAAGAAUGAACAGUACUGGACACUUUCAUUAUACCAUCCAAACCCACCCUCUGCCUUUCUUCCAUCUGCCUCUACCCUGGGAGGCUGAACUGGCUGGACUUCGUCCAUGGUUCCCUUUGCCAUCUGGCUUCUGGUUGUUUCGCAUAAAUGGGAAGCAUUGGUGGAGACUGGACUGGAGAACAGAGUGAGAUCAGGGUACUUAUUUGCUGGUUUCCUCUGUGAUGGGUCGUUAUAUGUUGAAGUAAGUUUCUCUACCAAGACCACAGCCCCUGUCAGGAAACCCUCUGCUACAACAACAGCUACUAUCUCUGGGUUCUGGUCAACUUUGCCUCUCCUUAACCUUCAGUCCUGAGGGUAGUAAUGGCUCCUCCAUCUUGCUAGUGUAGAGCAUUUCAACCAUCGCUCUUGGUUUCCUGUAACCCUGCUUACAUAUUUAUGAGCAGCCUCUUCAUUAAACCUUCCUCCAUUACCCACUUGAGUACGGCAUCUGCUUCCUGCUAGAGUGUGAGUGAUACACAUUCAGAUCAGAUUCUCAGAGCAAAACUCCAAGUAAUUAGAAAUCAGCAACAAGCACAGACUUAAAUGGACUCAAAUUACUCAAGAUAAUAAGUUAUUCACAUAGGAAACUAAGACAUAUUUAGAAUUGAAUACCAAAAAGUGUACAUCAUAGUCAUCUACAGUAGGACCAAGAAAAAGGGAAAUACAUGCAUUAAUAAAAGAAAAAGAUUAAAAGUAAAUGUCUGAAGGACUUAAAAGCUUAGAAUAAGCUUUUAAAAAUAGGGCAGACAUAAUAGGUAGGAAAUCAAUAAAAUGGAAAAAGAAAAAAGCAAAUGAGCUUCAACAAAAGAAAAAUUUGCUUUUUAAAAACCUCUAAGAAGAAAGAUCAAGAAGAGAGAAGGAACAAAACAUUUCUUACUAGUUAUCAAGACUUACAAAACUGUAGUAAUGAAAACACUAUGAUAUCAAUGCCAACAUAUAUAAUAGAAAAGAAUGCCUAUUAAUUAUAGAACAUUGAUAAAUGACAUUGCAAAUCAGAGAAGGAAAGCUAAGCUAUUCAAUAAAUAGAGCUGGGAAAAUUGUUUACGCAUACAUUAAAAAAUCUGAUACCUACCUCACACCACAAAAAGAAAACAAUUUUAAUGAAUUAACUGUCAAUAUAUAAAAAUCAGACCCCCAAAUCUUACCAAAAAAUAAAGACAGUGCCUUGGGGAAAAGAAGCAAUUAUUAAACAAGUGACAAAAAUCACAAUCAAUGAAGAAAAAGAUGGGUAAGUUUAAAUUUAUAUGUGUACAUGUAAAGCAUGACUAAUAUAUAUAAUGUUUACAGAACUGUACAUGUAUUACAUAAUCAUCAUAAAAAGGUAUUUAUUCACCCAGGAAAGUAAGCCACUACCGUGUGCCGAUAACUCUGCAAACUGCUGUAGAUACGACAGCAAAGCUGACGUGAUCUCUGCCCCGGACCGUACGUUGGCAGAUAAGCAGACAGGUUGAACAACACUGCACUUAAUAACACGAUGAAAAUAUUACUUUUACUAUCAUCCACACCAUCAUAAAGGAGCUUCUUUCCAGGCAAAUUAUUAAUCAAUGUAUCAAUGUAGUCGUGGUGAGAUAUGGCAGACCAGGGGGUGACCGAUUCUCCUAAGGCAUUUAUUUACUCUGUUUGUUUAGUCAUUCAGUAGUAUUUAUUGACUGACCCUUGAAUGCCACUGUAAUAAGCCCUGGGAUAAAAGAUGAAUACGAAAUAAUUUCUCCUCCAAGCAGAAAAUCCCUGAGCUCACCGCUGGGUAGAAGCAGACGCAUAAACUGGAAGGUCCAGUAUCUUGUGAUGGGCAUUAUGGUGGGGGAUCUUAUGGUGCUAUGGGGGCAUAUUGAAGCGCCUACCCCAGACUCUGGGGAAAGGGGUAGGUGGGUUUACGGUGGUACUUCAAAGCCCAACAGUGAAGGCAAGGAAAAUAUUUUAAUUCAGAUAACUGGGUGAAUCAUAACUCAGAAUUCUAAAUGCAUACAUUGCUAUAAAAUGAUAAUCAUGUGUUAAAGGCUGUCAUUCCCAUUUUGAGCCAAGAAAGUUCAGAGGUUCAGAACAAAACAGGUAUUUCAGAGACCUCAACAACAAACGUUGCUACAGCAGGAGUUUUCUGAGGUAAGGAUAGUGCAGCAGCAGAGUAACUAUUGUUUCUUGGAAAAGCAUAAACUAAGAGGCAACAAUCUUGGGUCUCUGUCCUGCUUUUGCUGCACACUCACUUUCUAAAGCCUAGAGUAAGCCAGUUAUCCUCCAGAGUUUGGGAAUAACAUCACAAACGUAAUGUGUUUAUUAUGAGAAUUAGAGCGUAAAGGUUAAAGUGCUUAAUAAAGCAGUACACGAAUAUCAUUAUUAAGGCUCCAGACUUUACACGUGAGCAGCCACUCCCUGAGCCUUUGGAGAUCGCUCUCCGUUCUUCUACAAGAGGAGCAGGCUUUGAUUUGCUGCCUCGCAUCCAGGAGGAGCCUCCUGUGCCCUAGGAAGCUCCCUUGGUCAUCCUGCACAUCCCCAAGCCUCCAGAAGGGCCCGGCCACGUACUUGGUCCAGGUACCGCACAUCGGGAGGGCUUACCGGCCUUGGUGCUGCUACCAUGCACCCAGUGAAGGUCCCGUGAGAAGGAUGUGGUGUGGAUUCACUCCAAGCCUGGGAAUCCUCAGAAUUCCAAACCUUCCUCUCAGCCCACACGCGGCUGAUGAAGAGUUGCCUAAAAAGAUGCACAACAUGAGAGUUCUGAGUUAAGUUUUAUUUGGGGCAAAAUGAGGACUAUAGCCUGGGAGACAGCCUCUCAGAGAGCUCUGAGAAACUGUCCCCAAGAGGCAGGGGGAGGUCAGUAUAGAUGUGAUUUUAGUGAAGGGGGAACAUGCAGUCAAACAUGCAUUUUGAGGGCCUCCCUGGUGGCAUAGUGGUUGAGAGUCCGCCUGCCGAUGCAGGGGACAUGGGUUCGUGCCCCGGUCCGGGAAGAUCCCACAUGCCGCGGAGCGGCUGGGCCCGUGAGCCAUGGCCGCUGAGCCUGAGUGUCCGGAGCCUGUGCUCCGCACCGGGAGAGGCCACAGCAGUGAGAGGCCCGCGUACCGCAAAAAAUAAAUGAAAAAAAAAACCCCAUGCAUUUUGGCAGAAGGUGGCUGCUCGUCACAAGGAGCAGAUGUCUCCAUUAAUGAUUUUAGUGCUUUUCUAGAUACAAGGAGAUGCAAGAAUUGGGCUCAUAAUAUCUCCUGAGAAUAUCUAACUAUCUGAAGGCCUGUUCUGCCGGGUUUUCCCAGAGCACAGAGGGCCUCCUUCGUGCUCUCCACCCUGAGCUCCUUUCAGGGGGUGUGGAAGGUCAGCGGCUGCAGCAGUUCAUGAUUUAAUCCUUGUAGAGGCAGAUGGCAAGUGCCAAUCUGUAGUUGGCAGACGUUUAAAAGACAGGUGGGUGCCACAUCCCACACAUACUGAGUAAGGAAAAAUGCGGCAGGGAUGAAAGUACCCAUGGUCUCUGCUAGGAAGGGCUUGUCUCUUACUGGAAUUCAGUUCAGUGGGGUUUCCCUGUGUUCCUAGUUCUGGGUUGCCUUUAAACAUGCAUAUGAUAGUGUCACUUCUCUGAACUAUUCUGAUUUGUAAGGUGGGACCUCCUGCAACUCAGUACAUCCCAGCUGCUGAAGUGUCCAUUUGAAGCUGUGUCCAUGUCUGGGGUGUGGAUGGGAAUAAAUCACCCUUGGGGUCAGAAAGAAAUAAACGCCAAUUUAAAUAGUUCUCUGGGUUAAUUUUGAUUUCAUCGGUUUUACAUACACUGAAAAUAAAUGGUCUUUGCUACCGCCCAUGUUUCCACAUGAAGUGAUGCAGACCGUGUACUGCCCGAAGCUUUCAAGCCUAGGAGACAAGUGGAGGUUGAAACACAACCUCAGCUUUUUUCUCCCAGUUUAUCCUCUCAAAGGAAAAUCUGUUCUUAAUUCAUCCAUGGCUCCGUGUGCAAAGGCGAGCAGCGACCCCAGUAUCGUUGCUCUGUCUACAGAUCGAUAAACCCGUCCCCCACAUCUGGGUCCCCCACAUUAUGGCUACUUGCAAGAAUAUUGCCUAAAUUAUCUAGAAUAACUUGUCAUAUUCCAAGGCCAGUGUUGAAAAGAAAAAAAUUGACAAAGAUACAGAGAAGACCCCAGGUACUAAUGGAGGAGUCGCUGACCUCUUUAGGAAGUUUCAUGCAAUGUAGCAGAAGCAACCUUUCCAAACAAGUUUCUUUUUCAAUUUGAACUUUUUGACAAUUUCUUUGCAAUCUCAUUCCUCUGAAUGAGUGUGAGUUUUUCCCUAUUUAUUAUUUUUUGGAGCAUAUGUCCACAUAACUAUGAAAUAAAACUUGAUCCAAAAUCUUCACUUAAAUAAGAUAAAAAUGAACUUAUUUAACAAAAAAAAAA